RNAcentral lists this unclassified non-coding RNA (292 nucleotides) under Hevea brasiliensis (rubber tree). The record is from RNAcentral. Lineage: Eukaryota; Viridiplantae; Streptophyta; Magnoliopsida; Malpighiales; Euphorbiaceae.
UAAAGGGGAAAGGGGAAGGAAAAACGCUAGCGAUUGUUCUUGCUCCGGUUCACUGAGGCUUGAAGAUCCUGGCCGGAGCUACCUGUUUCAGCGAGCCAAAAGGUAAAACAGAAAUGGGUUUUUAGAUCGAUAUCUGGUGGAGAAGCAAGGGAAGGAGAAGAAAACUGGAAAUGGACAGUUGGUUGUUUUCUUGUUACGUUUCGUCGGAGUGAUGAAAGGAGGUAGUGAGCUGCUGAGUUUUUUUGGAGGAAGGAGGUUGAGGGAAUGGUGGUCAGUGAGAAGAGAAGAGAGG